RNAcentral lists this ribosomal RNA (460 nucleotides) under uncultured bacterium. RNAcentral describes it as "partial 16S ribosomal RNA". It matches the Rfam family "Bacterial small subunit ribosomal RNA", at positions 338 to 795 of the family's 1533-position model. The record is from RNAcentral.
CCUACGGGCGGCAGCAGUGAGGAAUAUUGGUCAAUGGGCGGGAGCCUGAACCAGCCAAGUCGCGUGAGGGACGACGGUUCUAUGGAUUGUAAACCUCUUUUGCCGGGGAACAAAGGCGCCCACGGGUGGGCGGAUGAGUGUAUCCGAAGAAAAAGCAUCGGCUAACUCCGCGCCAGCAGCCGCGGUAAUACGGAGGGUGCGAGCGUUAAUCGGAAUUACUGGGCGUAAAGCGCUCGUAGGCGGUAUGUCAAGUCAAGGGUGAAAUCCCCGCGCUUAACGUGGGAACUGCCUUUGAAACUGGGAAACGGGAGUGUGUGAGAGGAUAGUGGAAGUCCAGGUGUAGGAGUGAAAUCCGUAGAUAGCUGGAGGAACAUCAGUGGCGAAGGCGACUAACUGGCACAUAACUGACGCUGAGGAGCGAAAGCGUGGGUAGCAAACAGGAUUAGAUACCCGAGUAGUC